GUUAGAGUUUUUAGAUUUAUAGAUUAGGGUUUAUGGUUUUCAAUUGAAAUCGUGAAAGUUCAUAGGUAGAUUUGAAGGGUCGUGGAUGUGGUAACACGCCUCAGAACACAUACAUUUCAUAUGUCAUAGCGGGAUAGGGUCAUCACCUCAGAAACCCAUCGUGGGGAAAUCAGGUUUCGAGAUAAUAAUUCUUGAUAUGAUCAAGGGUCAAAGUCUAGG
This 219-nucleotide long non-coding RNA is filed under the name Gossypium raimondii (Peruvian cotton). RNAcentral describes it as "long non-coding RNA (GRAI_LNC010355)". Lineage: Eukaryota; Viridiplantae; Streptophyta; Magnoliopsida; Malvales; Malvaceae. The record is from RNAcentral.